This is a non-coding RNA of Mycena latifolia, 98 nucleotides long. The record is from the annotation of a GenBank genome assembly. Lineage: Eukaryota; Fungi; Basidiomycota; Agaricomycetes; Agaricales; Mycenaceae.
GGCCGUGUGGCAAAAUGGUUACUGCGUUGCUUUCCGAUUUCCGUGUUCUCUACGCGGUGGAUAGGCAGAGACUGUGGGUUCGAGUCCCACCAUGGUCG